This 274-nucleotide ribosomal RNA is filed under the name uncultured bacterium. RNAcentral's name for it is "partial 16S ribosomal RNA". It matches the Rfam family "Bacterial small subunit ribosomal RNA", at positions 523 to 796 of the family's 1533-position model. The record is from RNAcentral.
AUACGGAGGGUGCAAGCGUUAAUCGGAAUUACUGGGCGUAAAGCGUACGUAGGCGGUUCGCUAAGUCGGAUGUGAAAUCCCCGGGCUCAACCUGGGACGUGCAUUCGAAACUGACGGACUAGAGUCUGGAAGAGGUUGGUGGAAUUCCCGGUGUAGCGGUGAAAUGCGUAGAGAUCGGGAGGAACAUCAGUGGCGAAGGCGACUGACUGGUCCAAGACUGACGCUGAGGUACGAAAGCGUGGGGAGCAAACAGGAUUAGAAACCCCAGUAGUCC